AGUGAACGCUGGCGGCAGGCCUAACACAUGCAAGUCGAACGGCAGCACAAGAGCGCUUGCUCUCUGGGUGGCGAGUGGCGGACGGGUGAGGAAUGCAUCGGAAUCUGCCCAUUUGUGGGGGAUAACCUCGGGAAACCGGGACUAAUACCGCAUACGACCUACGGGUGAAAGCAGGGGAUCUUCGGACCUUGCGCAGAUGGAUGAGCCGAUGCCGGAUUAGCUAGUUGGAGGGGUAAAGGCCCACCAAGGCGACGAUCCGUAGCUGGUCUGAGAGGAUGAUCAGCCACACUGGGACUGAGACGCGGCCCAGACUCCUACGGGAGGCAGCAGUGGGGAAUAUUGGACAAUGGGCGCAAGCCUGAUCCAGCCAUGCCGCGUGUGUGAAGAAGGCCUUCGGGUUGUAAAGCACUUUUGUUGGGAAAGAAAAGCAGCCGGUUAAUACCCGGUUGUCAUGACGGUACCCAAAGAAUAAGCACCGGCUAACUUCGUG
Molecule: ribosomal RNA, 490 nt
Filed under: uncultured bacterium
Lineage: Bacteria
Description: partial 16S ribosomal RNA
Rfam family: Bacterial small subunit ribosomal RNA
Source: RNAcentral